This 482-nucleotide ribosomal RNA is filed under the name uncultured bacterium. RNAcentral describes it as "partial 16S ribosomal RNA". It matches the Rfam family "Bacterial small subunit ribosomal RNA", at positions 30 to 507 of the family's 1533-position model. The record is from RNAcentral.
AUUGAACGCUGGCGGCAUGCUUUACACAUGCAAGUCGAACGGUAACAGGCCGCAAGGUGCUGACGAGUGGCGAACGGGUGAGUAAUGCAUCGGAACGUGCCCAGUCGUGGGGGAUAACUACUCGAAAGAGUAGCUAAUACCGCAUACGAUCUAUGGAUGAAAGCGGGGGGCCGUAAGGCCUCGCGCGAUUGGAGCGGCCGAUGUCAGAUUAGGUAGUUGGUGGGGUAAAGGCUCACCAAGCCAACGAUCUGUAGCUGGUCUGAGAGGACAACCAGCCACACUGGGACUGAGACACGGCCCAGACUCCUACGGGAGGCAGCAGUGGGGAAUUUUGGACAAUGGGCGCAAGCCUGAUCCAGCAAUGCCGCGUGCAGGAAGAAGGCCUUCGGGUUGUAAACUGCUUUUGUACGGAACGAAACGGCUCUGGUUAAUACCCGGGGCUAAUGACGGUACCGUAAGAAUAAGCACCGGCUAACUACGUG